This 256-nucleotide ribosomal RNA is filed under the name uncultured Bacillus sp. Its description in RNAcentral is "partial 16S ribosomal RNA". It matches the Rfam family "Bacterial small subunit ribosomal RNA", at positions 1123 to 1382 of the family's 1533-position model. The record is from RNAcentral. Lineage: Bacteria; Bacillati; Bacillota; Bacilli; Caryophanales; Bacillaceae.
GCGUGAAGGCGAGCACUCUAGACGAUGCCGUUGAACAAACGGAGGAGGUGGGAUGACGUCAAAUCAUCAUGCCCCUUAUGUUCUGGGCUACACACGUGCUACAAUGGCCGGUACAGACGGACGCAAAGCCGCGAGGUGGAGCAAAUCCUAAAAAGCCGGUCUCAGUUCGGAUUGCAGGCUGCAAUUCGCCUGCAUGAAGUCGGAAUCGCUAGUAAUCGCAGGUCAGCAUACUGCGGUGAAUACGUUCCCGGGCCUU